AAGAGACAGCAGUAGCCGCGGUAAUACGUAGGUGGCAAGCGUUGUCCGGAAUUAUUGGGCGUAAAGGGCUCGCAGGCGGUUUCUUAAGUCUGAUGUGAAAGCCCCCGGCUCAACCGGGGAGGGUCAUUGGAAACUGGGAAACUUGAGUGCAGAAGAGGAGAGUGGAAUUCCACGUGUAGCGGUGAAAUGCGUAGAGAUGUGGAGGAACACCAGUGGCGAAGGCGACUCUCUGGUCUGUAACUGACGCUGAGGAGCGAAAGCGUGGGGAGCGAACAGGUUUAGAUACCCCUGUAGUCCCUGUAUCUUAUAC
RNAcentral lists this ribosomal RNA (310 nucleotides) under uncultured bacterium. RNAcentral's name for it is "partial 16S ribosomal RNA". It matches the Rfam family "Bacterial small subunit ribosomal RNA", at positions 503 to 807 of the family's 1533-position model. The record is from RNAcentral.